AAAUUGAAGAGUUUGAUCAUGGCUCAGAUUGAACGCUGGCGGCAGGCCUAACACAUGCAAGUCGAGCGGUAGCACAGAGAGUUUGCUCUCGGGUGACGAGCGGCGGACGGGUGAGUAAUGUCUGGGAAACUGCCUGAUGGAGGGGGAUAACUACUGGAAACGGUAGCUAAUACCGCAUAACGUCGCAAGACCAAAGUGGGGGACCUUCGGGCCUCAUGCCAUCAGAUGUGCCCAGAUGGGAUUAGCUAGUAGGUGGGGUAACGGCUCACCUAGGCGACGAUCCCUAGCUGGUCUGAGAGGAUGACCAGCCACACUGGAACUGAGACACGGUCCAGACUCCUACGGGAGGCAGCAGUGGGGAAUAUUGCACAAUGGGCGCAAGCCUGAUGCAGCCAUGCCGCGUGUGUGAAGAAGGCCUUCGGGUUGUAAA
This 430-nucleotide ribosomal RNA is filed under the name Klebsiella pneumoniae. RNAcentral's name for it is "bacterial SSU rRNA". It matches the Rfam family "Bacterial small subunit ribosomal RNA", at positions 1 to 429 of the family's 1533-position model. Lineage: Bacteria; Pseudomonadati; Pseudomonadota; Gammaproteobacteria; Enterobacterales; Enterobacteriaceae. The record is from RNAcentral.